This 133-nucleotide ribosomal RNA is filed under the name uncultured bacterium. RNAcentral describes it as "partial 16S ribosomal RNA". The record is from RNAcentral.
CACGGAGUUAGCCGGUGCUUAUUCAUAUAGUACCGUCAUUAUCUUCCUAUAUAAAAGGAGUUUACACACCGAAAUGCGUCAUCCUCCACGCGGCGUUGCUGCAUCAGAGUUUCCUCCAUUGUGCAAUAUUCCC